AUACGGAGGGUGCAAACGUUGCUCGGAAUUAUUGGGCGUAAAGCGCGCGUAGGCGGCUUGAUAAGUCGGAUGUGAAAGCCCUUGGCUCAACCAAGGAAGUGCAUACGAAACUGUCAGGCUUGAGUAUGGGAGAGGAUUGUGGAAUUCCCGGUGUAGAGGUGAAAUUCGUAGAUAUCGGGAGGAACACCAGUGGCGAAGGCGACAAUCUGGACCAAUACUGACGCUGAGGUGCGAAAGCGUGGGGAGCGAACCGGAUUAGAUACCCGAGUAGUCC
This 274-nucleotide ribosomal RNA is filed under the name uncultured bacterium. Its description in RNAcentral is "partial 16S ribosomal RNA". It matches the Rfam family "Bacterial small subunit ribosomal RNA", at positions 523 to 796 of the family's 1533-position model. The record is from RNAcentral.